CAGAGCAAGACCCUAUCUCUUAUUAAAAAAAGAAAAAAUAAAUGCCACCCUGAAGUCAUGUAAAUAUUCAUCUAUAUAUUAUUAUCCAUUUUCUGCUGCUAUAACAGAAUACCACAGACUGAGUAAUUUACAAAGAACAGAAGUUUAUUUGCCUCAUGGUUCUGGAUACCGAGAAGUCCAAGAACAUGGUGCUGGCAUCUGGCGAGGGUCAUACCACGGCAGAGGACUGUUUGUCAGAGCUGAAAGAGCUGCUUUUAUCAAGACCCUAUUUAGCACAGAUGCGGGGCAGUGAAGAGGUGAAGGGGCUGGAGUCUGAGUGGCCGAAGUCAGUAAGUUAAUUAUGCAGGUGCUGCGUGUCUGCGUGACUGACCGCCAAUAAAAACUCUGAACACCAAAGCUUGGGUGAGCUUCCUUGGUUGGCAAUACUUUGUACAUGUUGCCACAUGUGGGUGGGAGAAUUAAACAUGCCCAUGCUACCCCACUGGGAGAGGACACCUGGAAGCCUGUACCUAGUUUCUCCUGGAUUUUAUCUCAUGCACCUUUCCCUUUGCUAACUCUA
Molecule: non-coding RNA, 559 nt
Organism: Microcebus murinus (gray mouse lemur)
Lineage: Eukaryota; Metazoa; Chordata; Mammalia; Primates; Cheirogaleidae
Source: RefSeq, a predicted model, not a curated record